This 270-nucleotide ribosomal RNA is filed under the name uncultured archaeon. RNAcentral's name for it is "partial 16S ribosomal RNA". It matches the Rfam family "Archaeal small subunit ribosomal RNA", at positions 477 to 747 of the family's 1478-position model. The record is from RNAcentral.
CAGCACCUCAAGUGGUCAGGAUGAUUAUUGGGCCUAAAGCAUCCGUAGCCGGCGCUGUAAGUUUUCGGUUAAAUCUGUACGCUCAACGUACAGGCUGCCGGGAAUACUGCAAAGCUAGGGAGUGGGAGAGGUAGACGGUACUCGGUAGGAAGGGGUAAAAUCCUUUGAUCUAUUGAUGACCACCUGUGGCGAAGGCGGUCUACCAGAACACGUCCGACGGUGAGGGAUGAAAGCUGGGGGAGCAAACCGGAUUAGAGACCCGAGUAGUCC